Molecule: ribosomal RNA, 105 nt
Filed under: uncultured bacterium
Lineage: Bacteria
Description: partial 16S ribosomal RNA
Rfam family: Bacterial small subunit ribosomal RNA
Source: RNAcentral
CCUUGUACACACCGCCCGUCACACCAUGGGAGUGGGUUUCACCAGAAGUAGGUAGCUUAACCUUCGGGACGGGCGCUUACCACGGUGAGAUUCAUGACUGGGGUG